This 233-nucleotide long non-coding RNA is filed under the name Amborella trichopoda. RNAcentral describes it as "long non-coding RNA (ATRI_LNC001259)". Lineage: Eukaryota; Viridiplantae; Streptophyta; Magnoliopsida; Amborellales; Amborellaceae. The record is from RNAcentral.
UUGUACUAACCAAAAGAUGAUAGAAGAAUUUAAGAAAAGUAUGAUGAAGGACUUUGAAAUGACGGAUUUGGGCCUCAUGAGAUAUUUUUUUUGGGGAGUGGGGGCAGCAGCAGCAACUCAAAGGAAGCUGUUCGUAUAUUGAAUACAACCGAUCAUGUUGAACUCCCCAUCAACAGGUACUCGGCGAUUACCAAUCUCGGCUUUUCCCUUGGAUGCACUGCCGAGGUUCUCUA